Molecule: long non-coding RNA, 4232 nt
Organism: Pseudopipra pipra
Lineage: Eukaryota; Metazoa; Chordata; Aves; Passeriformes; Pipridae
Exons: 3
Source: RefSeq, a predicted model, not a curated record
UGGAUUCCCAAUAACCGUGGGAUGACACAACUGCUAAACUCCUACUUUAAAAGUCUAAAGCAACAUUUCUUUAUCCAAGCUUCCAAAUCAGCAGCAUUUGUCAAAUGGCCAUGACAGAAUGGCAGGAAUAUAGUGUGGGAAGCACUAAUUACAAUAACUCUAAGCUGGCAAUUUUGCAGUUAAGAUCUUUUCAAGAUCUUUUUUCUAUGUAAACAGAAAUAAUUUCUCUCACAUUUUUACAAAACUGAAAUAUCUGGAAAUAAAUAAAAUAGUCCCUGCAAAGUAUCUUUCCCAUUACUAUGGAGAUCAUGGCUGUUCAGAAUCAGAAACUUUCUUAUCUACAGUGCAUCUAAUGAAGACAAGAAAAGAUGUUUUUACCCUCAGAUAUUCUUAUCCAUGACAACCUUAGCUUACACAACAGUGUGGACUGUUUUCAAGAAGACAGGUCAACUUGAUAAAAAUCAGACCAUUUCCUCCAGACAGAUCUACAUUAAGCAAAACUCAGACCUACCUCCAUCCUCCUCAGAGCCGUCCAGGGCAGGGUCCAAGCACCAGCAGCAGCAACACCUGCUCCCCGGGCAGCCGCAGCUUAAGGCUUCGGGGGUGUGGGAUCGUCCCACCCACUCCCAGGAGUCCCGACUGCCAUCACCUGAUCUGCUGCAGGUGAAAUCCUGCACCUGUGCUUUUGAAGGAGGGAAACAAACCCCACCACAACCUCAGCUAGAAUGUUUGCCCUGCAACAACCCACUGCUGGCAAACCUCCUCCCUGCCUUGAGGAUAUGAACUAUUUUAUCUUAUCUCUUUCGUAUUCCAUUACCACAACAAAAUCCUUUUCUGCUCAAGAAAAAGAUGUUAUAUGUGUUUAAGGAUGGAGUCCCACACCAGGACCUCGCUCACAGACCACAUCUGGGCCUGAUCUCUCCCAUUCACUGAAACCUGAGAUUAUUGGAACAGCCCUGAUAUUUAUAGUGUAGAAAUAAUAUCCUGAAAUGUAACAACAACAAAAAAUAUACUAAAUAAAAAAUAAUCUCUGUUAAUGGUAUUUGAAAUAAAGAUUUUUAGUAAGAAGGAAGUAAAAGAAUAAGAAAUACUGGGUAGUGUUUUGCUUCUCUGCAGUGCUUGAUUUAACAAUAGUCGGCAAUAAAAGGUAAUUGCUCAGAUUAGCAACUCUUCAACACCUUUUCAAAAUCGUGUAAUUAAAAAGUGAGGGUGGCCAGGUAGGGGAGAAUGUUUUUUUUCUCACAGUUUAAUAUUAGGUAUAUGUUAGCAGAUUACAGAUCACAGGAUUCAGGGAAGGGAGCUGGCCCCGUUCAAUAUUCAUUUGAGCAUCAAGGUGCCUGAAGCAACCCAAGGGCCUCGGUGUGCCCUCCCUCAGGGAAUGGUUGCUUCACUCUGGGGCUGUCCCUCUGCUGCGUCUGACCAACUCCAGGCCAGAAGGGGGGGACAGAUCGUCUGAACAUGCCUCUCCCAUUUCAGUGUGGGUUUGAUUUUCAUGCUGUCACAGCUGCAAAUAUCAAUAAAAGUAAUUCAAAGGAAGUAGGCUGCUGAUGCCCUGAACAGUGGAGGGCACUGACAGUGUGUGCAAAAGAGAUGCUAAUUUCCAACUGGUUAGUAAUUGUGGACCAUGGGACAUAGUAUCAUCCUUGGCCACCUGCUGAGGGUCUGGAAAACUGUUUCCGUGCCCAAAGAGACACAUUAUCUCUCUGCUGGCAACUUCAGAGAAAUGCUGGGUAUGCCUUUGAGGUUACUGUAAGAAAUCCUGCAGGGAAUUCUUGUCAAUGCGGUUUUCACCAUAUGAAGGUACCAAGCAGUGCAGAGAGAACUUGCUUUUUAUUCUUAGCCAUCUUAAAAUGUCUGUGGAGACAACAGGUCUUUUUGUUUUAGUUGUAGAAUGACACUUUGGUGGUGUUUUGUUUUUUUUUUUUUUCACUGUACUUGUCAACACUUUUUAUAUGCUCUCUGAAGAAGGGAUAUAUGAAUACUGUGUUGGGUUAUGGAGUGUGCAAACACUGAUUAUUAUUAUUAUAUAUUUAUGUAUUUUAUAAAAGUGUAAUGCUCGUUUGUUUUGACAGUUUCCCCAAUGCCUGAUGAAAGACAAACCAAAGCAGCACGGUUCAAAGCGUCCCUUUUUGAAUUUACUGAUAGAUUUUAAAGUAAUGGAUUUAUGAGUGAAUAUUUUCCUUUUUUUCUUUUUUUUUAUUAUUUUGUAGCGGGUGUAGGCUUGGUGUUGAAAGUAUGAACCAAAAAAGAGGGAAUGUUGAAAUACUGGCUUUUAGCUAUUUUCUGAUAGUGUGAAUGUACAUUCAUUUCUAGAAUCUGUUUUGAUCUAUCUAUAUCUUUGUGCAUGCAUAUCUAAAAAUAUGCAAAUAUUUAAGUAUCUCUUUAAUUCUUCUUAUCCAAGAUGCAAACAUUUACAUUGAGGCUUCCAGACCCUCAAAUAUUAGAAAGUAUCUUCACUAUAUUAUUUUCAGUUAAAUUCUAUUAAUUUAGAGCAACUAAGUGCCUGACAGAAUUCAUGAUUGUGCCUCCAAAAUUGACAACUUCUAUCCCUCACAAAAAACAACUUAUUCCAGACUCCAAAAGCUAAGACUUCAGAUUUGUAAUCAUUUUUGCUGAUGUCUAAUGUUCAUCUUGGAAAGUAAAACCAGGGCUGAACACCUUUAAUUUAAAGUUCUAGUCACAGUCAGUAAAGGUGAUAGACUUAAGUAAACCUAAGGAUUAAUUGAGGAUUUACUGUUAAUCUGAGGAUCACAUUAACAAAGAUGCAUAGGCCAUAUCUCAAACCAGUAGGCAUUUUAUGUUUACAUACUUCUAUGAGUCAAACGUACACCUUGAGGAUCCUGCUUGCCUUGUGCAUGAAAGCAUUUUUAAAAUACUCUGGCACCUGUGCUUACAGGAAGAACAGAACCCUAAAAACAUAAACCCAUUCUGCCCAAAGUCGAUGGAUAUUAUGACCAGUUUGGCUGCCAGGCCAAGGAAUCAGUAAUUCAAAUGAGGUCAGGAUGCUCUUAGGUGUUGAAACAGGCCUGAAAUAAUGUGGGACAUCAGUUUAGAACAGAGGAAGAGCUGAUAUGCUUUACCAGUCCCUUUACCAAGAGCUGUUAAGUUAUGAUUACUUGGGAUGAAGAAACACCACACAAAACUCAAAACAUGUUUCAACUGAAUUAAAGUUAAUGCUCAUUAUGAUAGGCUUUGAUGUAUGAAGAUGCAAUUAUCACAGUUAAAUAUAUAAAUCCUGCUCAAGUCAUGUUGUGUAUAUGUACAAAUGAUCAAAAAAGAUGUAAAAAUAAUUUGUGAAAAUCUAAUUGUUUUAAAAAGUAAUCUGAGAAGUGGACAAAACAUAAGGUGUAUUCUGUCCCUCUUUACUUCUUGUAAAUGUCUUCAUUUAGAUUUGUGAACAUUUUAUAAUUUUUUGCUGUAGUACUGGAUUUCAAGUUAAUCACAGUAAUUUUUUUGUCAUUGAAAUUCUUUCUUAGUACUCUUAGUUUCCUCUUGAAAGUAGUCUAUUUCACAGUAAUAUCUAUGUAUGAAAAAUGUUUUCAUUUUGUAGUAGAGCACUCUUCCUUCUCAAAGGGAAGCCACAAUCAAGUUUUGACAGUCUCUUUUUUUCAUUUCUAUUACAGGGUUCAAUGAAUUCCCAUAGAUUCAUUAUUAUUUAUGUAAACUAUCUUGAUCAAAUAGAUAUGUAGCUGCAUAACAAAUAACCUGAUAACCAACGUUAGAGAGAUUUACUUUCCAGAGCACUAAAUCUUCAUACAAUUCUGUUCUUUCACUCAGAAAAGCAAACCCUAUUAUGUAUGCCUUAUAUCUAUAUAGAAAUCUCCAGGUAGUGUAAUUUCAGCUUUCAGGGUGAAAAACUUCACUAUUUAUUGAAUAAAUGGUAGGUGUUUAAAAUUACCAACAGACAUUCAUACUCACUAACAACUUGAAAACCAGGCAAGUCUCUGUAGUUACAGCUGUAAUGGGAAAAUACAUCCAGAUUCACGUGAUAUUCAUGAGCUCAAAAUUUACUCAUAGAUCAAAUCUUUGGAAAUCCUAUUAAGGGUAACACCUUGAGAUGUCAUGAUUAAUCCAUAGUAGUCCUUCAGGAAAUCUUUGUGUAGUCACUUUGAAUGCCUCAGUAAUUAAUUCCUCAAUGUCAUUUGGCUUGACUCAGGAACAUAAUUUAGGCUAUACUGGAAAUAAUGCUGUCGUCCUCAGUGUAGAUUGUAGAUUAGGAGGAUAUAUGACAA